RNAcentral lists this ribosomal RNA (171 nucleotides) under uncultured rumen bacterium. RNAcentral's name for it is "partial 16S ribosomal RNA". It matches the Rfam family "Bacterial small subunit ribosomal RNA", at positions 338 to 524 of the family's 1533-position model. The record is from RNAcentral.
CCUACGGGAGGCAGCAGUGGGGAAUAUUGGGCAAUGGGGGAAACCCUGACCCAGCAACGCCGCGUGAGGGAAGAAGGUUUUCGGAUCGUAAACCUCUGUCCUUGGUGAAGAGAAAGAGACGGUAGCCAAGGAGGAAGCCCCGGCUAACUACGUGCCAGCAGCCGCGGUAAU